GUUGAAUAGACAUGAACAUCUUUGUUUGACUAAUGUCUCUACUAGUAUAGGGUUCUGAGUAUGAGAACAAGGUGGUGAGUAUAUCUCUCUUUUGGUAGUGCAUAUGUUUAUAUAUAUUGUGAGUUGCAUUGACAUGAUCACAGUCAGAGUUACACAAAUCAGUCCCAUGGCUCCUCUUACACACUAGUUCUCUGUGUUAUUCAUUGGUUUCAUGGACGCUGAUGGAAGCUGUCCAAUUUUCUGGCACGCAUGCUAAUUUCUAAUUUGAGCAUUAAUAGGGAAUUACUCUUUUGUAAUAAAGUUUUAUUGAGAUCUGACAAUCUUUUCACUUUUCCUUUCUCUUCUUAAUAUGUGUAUUUAUUUAUUUAUUUUAUGUAGGGGGGAGUAGGGGAAGAUUUUCAUCUGGAAGGGGGACUGGAUACAGGAACGAAGGAUCUAAUGGGUACAGGAAUGAGGGACCUAAUGGGUACAGGAAUGAUGGACCUAAUGUUGGAUACCGGAAUGAUGCACCUAAUGGGUACCGGGGGGAUGGACCAAGAGGACGUGGAGGCUAUGGAGGUGGUAGAGGUUAUGGCCGCAGCGAUUUCAAGUCCGAAUUUGGAGGAAGGAAUACAGGUAGGGGAGGAUCAUCGGGCCGUGGAGGUGAUGGGUUUCAGAGGUCUGAGAAUGGUGGUCGUGUGAAUCGUGCUGGUGGACCGGCUGUUAAUGCAGCACCCAAAACUUCAGCUCCCCGGGUGUCUGCUUCUGCUUGAGAAAGAAGUUCAGCCCCCCUGAGUGUUGGCUUCUGCUCUGAGGGAUACAAAUGAUUUUUUGGAAGUAUGUUAAUGGUCAAGUUGUUCGAUAGCAUAUUAAGAGGGCUGUUUCUGAUCGUUUGGGGGAAGUGAACCACCUAGUAAAAACCAUAGGAUUUUCUUGGACCAUUUUUUGUUUGCGGUUUUCAUAUUUUAGCUGCUUUUUGGGUUUGAUAGUGGCCUUAGAUUUCUGCAAGUAGUGUUCCCUUAUGAACUACUUGUGGGUUUCUAUUCCCUUUAUUUGCGAAGGAAGUGAGAAUUAUUUAGGUUAGUUAGCAGUUUGCCUUUCUAGGUUCUACUGUACUGUGUUGU
Molecule: long non-coding RNA, 1103 nt
Filed under: Fragaria vesca (wild strawberry)
Lineage: Eukaryota; Viridiplantae; Streptophyta; Magnoliopsida; Rosales; Rosaceae
Description: long non-coding RNA (FVES_LNC000624)
Source: RNAcentral